This 69-nucleotide transfer RNA is filed under the name Hylodes asper (warty tree toad). Its description in RNAcentral is "tRNA-Val". It matches the Rfam family "tRNA". Rfam says of the family: Transfer RNA (tRNA) molecules are approximately 80 nucleotides in length. Their secondary structure includes four short double-helical elements and three loops (D, anti-codon, and T loops). Lineage: Eukaryota; Metazoa; Chordata; Amphibia; Anura; Hylodidae. The record is from RNAcentral.
CAAAAUAUAGCUUAACCUAAGCUUUUCGCUUACACCGAAAAAAUAUCUGUUAAAUUCAGAUUAUUUUGA